UACAGGGGGGGCAAGCGUUGUUCGGAAUUAUUGGGCGUAAAGAGCUCGUAGGUGGCUUGUUGCGUCUGCCGUGAAAGCCCGUGGCUUAACUACGGGUCUGCGGUGGAUACGGGCAGGCUAGAGGCUGGUAGGGGCAAGCGGAAUUCCUGGUGUAGCGGUGAAAUGCGCAGAUAUCAGGAGGAACACCGGUGGCGAAGGCGGCUUGCUGGGCCAGUUCUGACGCUGAGGAGCGAAAGCGUGGGGAGCGAACAGG
RNAcentral lists this ribosomal RNA (253 nucleotides) under uncultured bacterium. RNAcentral's name for it is "partial 16S ribosomal RNA". It matches the Rfam family "Bacterial small subunit ribosomal RNA", at positions 524 to 776 of the family's 1533-position model. The record is from RNAcentral.